UGCAAGUCGAACGGUCGUUGCCCUCGGGCUUCGAUAGUGGCAAACGGGUGCGUAACGCGUAAAUAACCUGCCCCCCACUGGGAAAUAGCUUGGCGAAAGCGGAGGUAAUGUCCCAUAGUCUUUUGUGCUCACCUGGGCGCAUCAGUAAAGGCCUCGGCCGGUGGGGGAGGGAUUUGCGUCUGAUUAGCUAGUUGGCGGGGUAGUAGCCCACCAAGGCCGUGAUCAGUAGGGGCUCUGAGAGGAGGGUCCCCCACAUGGGCACUGCGACACGGGCCCAACUCCUACGGGAGGCAGCAGUAGGGAAUAUUGGGCAAUGGGCGAGAGCCUGACCCAGCCAUGCCGCGUGCAGGACGAAGGCCCUCUGGGUUGUAAACUGCUUUUAUCUGGGAAGAAGAGCAGCGCUGCGGCGCUGUGUGACGGUACCAGAGGAAUCAGCACCGGCUAACUCCGUGCCAGCAGCCGCGGUAAUACGGAGGGUGCAAGCGUUGUCCGGAUUUAUUGGGUUUAAAGGGUGCGUAGGUGGCCGGUUAAGUCAGCUUUGAAAGUGGGUCGCUUAACGACACAGGGUGGGUUGAUACUGGCCGGCUUGAAGGAGGGGGAGGUUACUGGAACGGGUCGUGUAGCGGUGAAAUGCAUAGAUAUGACCCAGAACUCCAAUUGCGUAGGCAGGUGGCUACCCCUUUAUUGACACUGAGGCACGAGAGCAUGGGGAGCAAACAGGAUUAGAUACCCUGGUAGUCCAUGCCGUAACGAUGAUAACUGACUGUGUGCGUUUCGGCGUGCGUGGUUAAGCGAAAGC
Molecule: ribosomal RNA, 799 nt
Filed under: Fibrella sp.
Lineage: Bacteria; Pseudomonadati; Bacteroidota; Cytophagia; Cytophagales; Spirosomataceae
Description: bacterial SSU rRNA
Rfam family: Bacterial small subunit ribosomal RNA
Source: RNAcentral